CAAAUCUUCUGCUUCUCAGAAACCAUCCUCGCGCCUCACCAAACCCGGUUCUUCUCACAAGUUCCCCUCCUCCAUGGAUCGUCUACCACCUCCAAUGUGCUUCCCCAACUGGUACCUACACCAAAGAUGCCCUAUUUGAGCUCCAAAAGAACACCUGGACCCUCGCUAAGCCCAUGUCUUCCGCCUUGAAGACUUCAUCCUCCUCUACUUAUGAGCCCAAAAUCAUUCUCAAGGG
Molecule: unclassified non-coding RNA, 235 nt
Filed under: Hevea brasiliensis (rubber tree)
Lineage: Eukaryota; Viridiplantae; Streptophyta; Magnoliopsida; Malpighiales; Euphorbiaceae
Source: RNAcentral